GGAGAGAUGGCCGAGUGGUUUAAGGCGCGGCACUGGAAAUGCCGUUUGGGGGCAACUUCAACUAGGGUUCAAAUCCCUAUCUCUCCG
This 87-nucleotide transfer RNA is filed under the name Iningainema tapete BLCC-T55. It matches the Rfam family "tRNA". Rfam says of the family: Transfer RNA (tRNA) molecules are approximately 80 nucleotides in length. Their secondary structure includes four short double-helical elements and three loops (D, anti-codon, and T loops). The record is from Rfam by way of RNAcentral. Lineage: Bacteria; Bacillati; Cyanobacteriota; Cyanophyceae; Nostocales; Scytonemataceae.